Molecule: ribosomal RNA, 804 nt
Filed under: Stenotrophomonas maltophilia
Lineage: Bacteria; Pseudomonadati; Pseudomonadota; Gammaproteobacteria; Lysobacterales; Lysobacteraceae
Description: bacterial SSU rRNA
Rfam family: Bacterial small subunit ribosomal RNA
Source: RNAcentral
CUACCAUGCAAGUCGAACGGCAGCACAGAGGAGCUUGCUCCUUGGGUGGCGAGUGGCGGACGGGUGAGGAAUACAUCGGAAUCUACUCUGUCGUGGGGGAUAACGUAGGGAAACUUACGCUAAUACCGCAUACGACCUACGGGUGAAAGCAGGGGAUCUUCGGACCUUGCGCGAUUGAAUGAGCCGAUGUCGGAUUAGCUAGUUGGCGGGGUAAAGGCCCACCAAGGCGACGAUCCGUAGCUGGUCUGAGAGGAUGAUCAGCCACACUGGAACUGAGACACGGUCCAGACUCCUACGGGAGGCAGCAGUGGGGAAUAUUGGACAAUGGGCGCAAGCCUGAUCCASCCAUACCGCGUGGGUGAAGAAGGCCUUCGGGUUGUAAAGCCCUUUUGUUGGGAAAGAAAUCCAGCUGGCUAAUACCCGGUUGGGAUGACGGUACCCAAAGAAUAAGCACCGGCUAACUUCGUGCCAGCAGCCGCGGUAAUACGAAGGGUGCAAGCGUUACUCGGAAUUACUGGGCGUAAAGCGUGCGUAGGUGGUCGUUUAAGUCCGUUGUGAAAGCCCUGGGCUCAACCUGGGAACUGCAGUGGAUACUGGGCGACUAGAGUGUGGUAGAGGGUAGCGGAAUUCCUGGUGUAGCAGUGAAAUGCGUAGAGAUCAGGAGGAACAUCCAUGGCGAAGGCAGCUACCUGGACCAACACUGACACUGAGGCACGAAAGCGUGGGGAGCAAACAGGAUUAUAUACCCUGGUAGUCCACGCCCUAAACGAUGCGAACUGGAUGUUGGGUGCAAUUUGGCACGCA